RNAcentral lists this ribosomal RNA (817 nucleotides) under Ramularia uredinicola. RNAcentral describes it as "eukaryotic LSU rRNA". It matches the Rfam family "Eukaryotic large subunit ribosomal RNA", at positions 71 to 919 of the family's 3401-position model. Lineage: Eukaryota; Fungi; Ascomycota; Dothideomycetes; Mycosphaerellales; Mycosphaerellaceae. The record is from RNAcentral.
GGGAUUGCCCUAGUAACGGCGAGUGAAGCGGCAACAGCUCAAAUUUGAAAUCUGGCGCAAGCCCGAGUUGUAAUUUGUAGAGGAUGCUUCUAGGUAGCGACCGGUCUAAGUUCCUUGGAACAGGACGUCAUAGAGGGUGAGAAUCCCGUAUGUGACCGGCCCGCACCUUCUACGUAGCUCCUUCGACGAGUCGAGUUGUUUGGGAAUGCAGCUCUAAAUGGGAGGUAAAUUUCUUCUAAAGCUAAAUACCGGCCAGAGACCGAUAGCGCACAAGUAGAGUGAUCGAAAGAUGAAAAGCACUUUGGAAAGAGAGUUAAAAAGCACGUGAAAUUGUUGAAAGGGAAGCGCUUACAACCAGACUUCUGGGCGGUGUUCCGCCGGUCUUCUGACCGGUCUACUCGCCGUCCCGAGGCCAACAUCAUCUGGGACCGCUGGAUAAGACCUGAGGAAUGUAGCUCCCCUCGGGGAGUGUUAUAGCCUCUGGUGAUGCAGCGCGUCUCGGGUGAGGUCCGCGCUUCGGCAAGGAUGUUGGCGUAAUGGUUGUCAGCGGCCCGUCUUGAAACACGGACCAAGGAGUCUAACAUCUAUGCGAGUGUUCGGGUGUCAAACCCCUACGCGUAAUGAAAGUGAACGGAGGUGGGAAGGGUAACCUGCACCAUCGACCGAUCCUGAUGUCCUCGGAUGGAUUUGAGUAAGAGCAUAGCUGUUGGGACCCGAAAGAUGGUGAACUAUGCCUGAAUAGGGUGAAGCCAGAGGAAACUCUGGUGGAGGCUCGCAGCGGUUCUGACGUGCAAAUCGAUCGUCAAAUUUGGGUAUA